Oryza rufipogon (brownbeard rice) is the source of this 205-nucleotide microRNA precursor. It matches the Rfam family "MIR812 microRNA precursor family". The record is from Rfam. Lineage: Eukaryota; Viridiplantae; Streptophyta; Magnoliopsida; Poales; Poaceae.
AAUAAGCGUAGCCAUGAGUUUCCGCGCCCAAUUUUGAUCGUCUGUCUUAUUUGAAUUUUUUUUAUAAUUAGCAUUUUUGUUGUUAUGAGAUGAUAAAACACGAAUAGUACUUUACUCGUGACUUAUGUUUUUAAUUUUUUACUAAAAAUUUUCAAAUAAGACGAACGGUCAAAGUUGGGCGUGGAAAACCAUGGCUGCACUUAUU